RNAcentral lists this ribosomal RNA (253 nucleotides) under uncultured bacterium. RNAcentral's name for it is "partial 16S ribosomal RNA". It matches the Rfam family "Bacterial small subunit ribosomal RNA", at positions 524 to 776 of the family's 1533-position model. The record is from RNAcentral.
UACGUAGGGUGCAAGCGUUAAUCGGAAUUACUGGGCGUAAAGCGUGCGCAGGCGGUUCUAUAAGACCGAUGUGAAAUCCCCGGGCUUAACCUGGGAACUGCAUUUGUGACUGCAUCGCUGGAGUGCGGCAGAGGGGGAUGGAAUUCCGCGUGUAGCAGUGAAAUGCGUAGAUAUGCGGAGGAACACCGAUGGCGAAGGCAAUCCCCUGGGCCUGCACUGACGCUCAUGCACGAAAGCGUGGGGAGCAAACAGG